AGCAGCCGCGGUAAUUCCAGCUCCAAUAGCGUAUAUUAAAGUUGUUGCAGUUAAAAAGCUCGUAGUUGAAUUUCGGGAUUGGCGCAUCGGUCGUGCCUCACGGGGUAUGAACUGGUGCAGUCAAUUUCUCACCUUCUGGAGAACCGCGAUGUCCUUAAUUGGAUGCCGCGGGGAACCAGGACCUUUACUUUGAAAAAAUUAGAGUGUUUAAAGCAGGCAUUUUUGCUUGAAUACAUUAGCAUGGAAUAAUAAAAUAGGACGGCAUGGUUCUAUUUUGUUGGUUUCUAGGACCACCGUAAUGAUUAAUAGGGAUAGUUGGGGGCAUUAGUAUUCAAUUGUCAGAGGUGAAAUUCUUGGAUUUAUUGAAGACUAACUACUGCGAAAGCAUUUGCCAAGGAUGUUUUCAUUAAUCAAGAACGAAAGUUAGGGGAUCGAAGACGAUCAGAUACCGUCGUAGUCUUAACCAUAAACUAUGCCGACUAGGAAUCAGACGAUGUUAAUUUUUUUAAUGACUCGUUUG
RNAcentral lists this unclassified non-coding RNA (520 nucleotides) under uncultured Glomus. Its description in RNAcentral is "SSU rRNA". It matches the Rfam family "Eukaryotic small subunit ribosomal RNA", at positions 569 to 1082 of the family's 1831-position model. RNAcentral also lists the same sequence under 3 other names. The record is from RNAcentral. Lineage: Eukaryota; Fungi; Glomeromycota; Glomeromycetes; Glomerales; Glomeraceae.